Molecule: long non-coding RNA, 2393 nt
Organism: Zonotrichia leucophrys gambelii
Lineage: Eukaryota; Metazoa; Chordata; Aves; Passeriformes; Passerellidae
Exons: 3
Source: RefSeq, a predicted model, not a curated record
GUCCAAAGUCCUUUGUUUCCUGUCACCUCCCUGGUGUGACUUUCACAGCUGCGUUCUGUGUGCCUGGGGACUGGGCUUGAGGUCCCCUGCAAAGAGAUAACCUCAUGAACUGAUGUCUCCAGCACCACUGCUCAGCGGGUGACAAAUGAGGACACGUCCCCACCAGGCUGCAGUUGCUGAACUCGGAGACUGCAUUGUCACAAACUCCCUGUGGCAGCCUCAGAUGCAGGGCAGCACCCAGAGACCCCUCUGGAGAUCCAUCUGGAAAGGGCACCAGAGAGCUUGCCCAAGGCUGGGAAUGGACCCAGCACAGCACCCACAGUGCCCAGCCUUCCCAGAGAGCUCAGAUCACUGAUUUUACAAAAGGUCAGGCUGUUGCUACAGGGGAUGUUUGCAGUGAUCCUGUGGAGGAGCCCAUGGGUGGCUCUGGCACAGAUGCGAACUGAAAGGAAAGCAUUUCAGCAGAAAUCAUGAGAAAUCAGCGUGCACAACCAGGCUGCCCCGUGCAUUUACAGGGUUAUUGACUUUCCAUGUGAAAAGGAGGUUCCACUGGCUUCUUUUACAGGAAGGAAAAGAUGGGAUCUGAUACUUAGUUUUGAGACAUCUCUGUUGGAAGCUGAUGGCUGGAGACCCUCAGUAGGACACGGAGAGCAAUGUGGCGACUAAAACUCAUGAAACAUUUUGGAGAGCUGGGACAAAAGGCCCCAAAUCUGUGUCUGUGCAGUGUUGUGUAGAGGCUGCAGAGCCCCCAAGAUCUCUUGGGGAGCUGUGUCUUUGCUUGAAGGGGCAGAGGUGGGGAGGCUCUCACUGCAGUGUUCUAGCUCAGAGCUGCUCCUGGGCUGGUGUUAAGAGCUUCCUGAAGGUUAUGGGCAUCCCUGCCCUGUGCAUUUACAGGGGUUAUUGACUUUCCAUGUGAAAAGGAGAUACCACUGGCUUCUUUUACAGACCCAUCCUCGAGCUUGCAGCUGGUCCUGUGUUGUUUCACUACAGGGAAACUCCAUCAGUGCCCUCCAGAGCUGUAGGGAACCACGGGGGCAGCUCCUGGAGAUGUUUGCUGUCAGUCUGUCUGUCUGUCUGCAGAGAGAGGGGCAGCCAGGCUGGCCAGGGAGCGGCAGUGCAGGAGCAGCAGGGAAGGGCCUCUGGGCAGACAUUUGGGUUUGGAGGAAACGCUGAGCCCACUGAAGGUGAGGCAGGGCAGGGGAAGCCUGAGCAGGUGUGAGACCCUCCAGGCUCACUCAGCACUGACAUCUCUGUGAGCUCUCUGCUGCUUUGGGCUCCUGACGGAUCCCAGCCAGGGAGAGGCAGCAAAGGCCACAGCCCCGCUGCUCAGACAUGCACCAAAAUCCCUGUGCUGGCUUCUCACCUCAGGACCCAGCCUUGCUGUCCUGUCCUGUGCACAGCAGGUCAAUUCCUCCUCCUGAAUCCUCCUGAGGAUACACCUGAUGUGUUCUGGAAUUUCUUGACUUCCCUGACUGAAGAAUUCAGGGUCACAAAGCCCCUCUUGCAGUCACAGUGAAUGGCAUCAUCCUUCAGCUGGGAUGAGAACACGACUGCAGGAGCACAAGCCCCACUUCUGGAUGAGAGAGCACAAAGGAAAUGGAACUUCCAAGAUGCAGUUGCCACAAGGAGAUUUGGAAAAUUGUCUUUCUGUCAUGUCUCUUUUCCUCACCAGGAGCUGAGGGCAUCCACGUUUGGUACCUUCCUCCACCGGAGUGGGUCCAAGUGGCUCGGGUGAAGGCAGGGAUGUUCCUGCACCUCCCAAGAGCCAUGGGCAGGGCUGAGAGAAACCUCUUCUGGUGGGGAAAACUUCAGUGCAGCUCAGCUGUGCCUGGGGCUCAAACAGCAAACACUCCUGGCCUGAAUGGAUUCGGGUCCAGAAGAUCCUUCAGCCCAAAAGUAGGCUACCAUGAACGAGUUAAAAUCCUUCCCUCUGCCUGGUGAAACUUAUUGAAAACUACAUCGUUCAUCUGUUGAAACUUCACAGCUGUUGAGAUUGCCCUGGGGGCAAACCACAUCCAAGAAAUGGCAUGUGGAGAUCCCGGAGCACGGGGCUUGAAAGCUGAACGGGGCUCUGGGCGCUGCCUCCCUCCCCUCGCAGCCCCAUCUGCAGCUCCUCAGUCACUCCGAGCGGGCUGCUCCUCCUCCCGCGGCUCCUCUCCCUCCUGCACCACCGGCGCUUGGUGGCAGGGGUUGAAUUUUGGCCAAAGAGCAGCGGAGCGAGGAUGCAGACAGCAGGAUGGGGCGUGGGGAGUGGCACACGGGGCUGCGUGCCACCAUCACCUGCCUGUGACACUGCUCCUUGUCAUCCCCGGGGGAGCAGCGGAAAUGCGCCAUUUGCUCAUGAAAAAUCUGUGACUUCUGUUCAGUGGUAGCAACUUGCCUGGUUUUUUGGG